GCCAGCAACUCAAUGUACCAACUUAGAGGGAAGGAUAUUCACCCCCCGUUCCUUCCGGCUUUCCAUUUUCUUGCUCGCAAGAAAAUUUUCCUUUAAUGGAAACGACCGCGCUUCGAGCAUCUUCUUUGUUGCAUCGUCCGCGAGGAAAACGAAGAUGCUGACGCAGGAGUAAUGGUCGAGGAUUGCAACGAGAAGAAUAUAUUUGGCCUUGUACGCGCUCAAACUAAGUUUACUCAUCGUUACUGCGCCGACUGAAUUUUCGUUAAGGAAGACGGCGAAAACGCUAUGCGUCUUAUACCCAUUUGCAAUUUCUUUACCAACUUCCUCAGCGCCAGCGUUUCUCGAAGUAUAGUUGCCGUUCACCGACGUGCUUGUAGUCAGCAAAAUUUCAAACACUGAUCGAUUGUGCUCGAGAUUCAAAUUCUUUAACAAAUUUCCUGGCGAGAUGAAUUUGCUCGCGACUCGACAAUGGUUAAGAGAUUUUCGCAAGUUUCGAAAAUCCUCGUUGCGCUGCUCGUCGACGUUCCAUCGGGUCUUCUUUCUCGUUUUAGUUUGCAACGCUUGUCCUGAAAACUCGGCAAAAACCAGUGUUCCACGUUAACGUCACGCUCGCGAAAUUAUUUCCCGAGAUUUAUGUACGUCGUUACAGGGAAGAAUAAGCUACGCUUCUUGGUUGGAGCUUGUUUCGGGACGAAGCAAUACCUUUAUCUUCGUUAAGCGCAUUUCGCGCAGUUUCAGCCCGCCCGGCGAACAUAUUUUACUGCUUAUAUCCUCUCCGAGCCGUCAACUCGCUCUACUUGCUAGUACAUCAAAAAUCUGUUGUUGGGGGCAUGCUAAAGGUUUAUAAACAUUGAUGGCGACAGUUACGGCCUAAUAACAGACGAGCAUGACACCGCUUCUCGAGCUUUCGCCUGUCUGCGUACGUUGUACGUCGUAAUUUUAAGUGCUCCAUGGACCAGACGUAAAUCAAUCAUGCUUUCCUAAACGCACCAGUUAUCGUUGGCAAAUGAAUCAUCCUUGUUCGUGCGAUGCUAAUGAAUUGGCGACGACUGAAUCCCUGAUUAAAGGCUUAACGAAUUUCGUCCGAGUUACUUUACCGUUACUUGUGAAAUACUUGAACGGAUCCACGGUCAAAGAGUUUCCGUGUCCAAUGGCUUUCGACGGGCGAACUUCCGUCCGUAAUGAUUCGCUGGAGAUAUCGACGAUCGGCCAGCCGAUUCCGACCGUGAUUUAAAGGAACGACAGUAAUUAAAAGCGACGAUUCUAGUCGGCUAUCCCCCAGUCUACCUUUCGGUGCUUUUAAAUGCCGACGAGGACGCGGACAAAGAGUGAAAUCGACGAAUUACGAAACUCCGCGAGAAGAGAAUUAAGCGAAAGGGGAUCGUUCGAAGACUCCGAAAGGAACCACGCGAAAGAGUCCGAGGAGAAAGUGUUGAAGAGAGUGAGAGGAGAAAGAGAACGGAGCGUAGGCGAGUCGAGCCUAUCGGUCUACUCCAUCUUCGGUCCCAGGUUCAUCGUGAAUACGAAUGAGCUCCUGGUCGAUCGAGCUCGAGUACUAAUUGAGAAAGUUCGACGAAGUGCGCCCGUUGGUGUUUCCUUUGAAUGAAGAUAACCGGCCACCUCUGGGUGUCGGACUAAAUCUUCUUCUGGUGCUCGUUAAUAUGAAAGCUUGACUCACCGAUCGGUUGAACGAGGUAGGGCGACGAUGCCAGCAGCAGGGGGAUCAAUUGGAGCACACCCAUGAUGGCUUCGAUUCAUGUGUCCA
Molecule: long non-coding RNA, 1765 nt
Organism: Hylaeus volcanicus
Lineage: Eukaryota; Metazoa; Arthropoda; Insecta; Hymenoptera; Colletidae
Exons: 3
Source: RefSeq, a predicted model, not a curated record